UUAAUAGAUGAACUGGGAAAACUUAACGUCAAAAUGUGGAAACUUAUUUUAACUAUUUCUCUUCUCGUGGUGUUGAAUGCAGGUAGCGGCAUGUGUCGAUCUUGUAGUAAUUGUCCGGAUAGUGAGUUAGUGAAUUGUUUCGUUAGUCCAUGCCUCAAUCAUAAAUGUCCAUGGAACAAAAGGUGCUGUGAAAACUACUGUGGAGGAUGUUAUUACAAGUGUAUCUACUGAUGGUAUGUCUUGUGACAUGUCAACAUUUAUUUUCCUCUACUGACAAAAAAAAAGUAUUUGAAACAUUUUUCCA
This is a long non-coding RNA of Mytilus californianus (California mussel), 304 nucleotides long. RefSeq lists it as uncharacterized. Lineage: Eukaryota; Metazoa; Mollusca; Bivalvia; Mytilida; Mytilidae. The record is from RefSeq and is a predicted model, not a curated record. The transcript has 3 exons.